This 504-nucleotide ribosomal RNA is filed under the name uncultured bacterium. RNAcentral describes it as "bacterial SSU rRNA". It matches the Rfam family "Bacterial small subunit ribosomal RNA", at positions 28 to 524 of the family's 1533-position model. The record is from RNAcentral.
GAUGAACGCUAGCGGGAGGCUUAACACAUGCAAGUCGAGGGGCAUCACGAGGUAGCAAUACUUUGGUGGCGACCGGCGCACGGGUGAGUAACACGUAUGCAACCUUCCCUGUACAGGGGGAUAACCCGGAGAAAUUCGGACUAAUACCCCAUGAUGAUAUUAUGGGGCAUCCUUUAAUAUUUAAAGCUCUGGCGGUACAGGAUGGGCAUGCGCGACAUUAGCUAGUUGGUAAGGUAACGGCUUACCAAGGCGACGAUGUUUAGGGGUCCUGAGAGGGUGGUCCCCCACACUGGUACUGAGACACGGACCAGACUCCUACGGGAGGCAGCAGUGAGGAAUAUUGGUCAAUGGGCGCAAGCCUGAACCAGCCAUCCCGCGUGCAGGAAGACGGCCCUAUGGGUUGUAAACUGCUUUUCCAGGGAGAGAAACUUACGCACGUGUUGCGUGACUGACGGUACCCUGGGAAUAAGCAUCGGCUAACUCCGUGCCAGCAGCCGCGGUAAU